GUUGGAAUUCAAAAGAAAGCUAGGGAGCCAAGCAGCCCAGGAGAAAACUGGGUGAGGAUGCUGCCUGCUGUCCUUUCAUGGUGUGUACAAAGAUGGACCCAUACCUACCUGCAGGGGAAGCACAGGUCUACGAGCGGAAUCCAGAAAGAGACAUUCCAUUGGCACUGGAAUACACGGAAAGCCACUGAUGCUGGAGACUCCCUGAGCUACUUGGAUGACCCACCUCCAGCAUCAUCAAUUCAUGUGAGCUUGCAGGUUUACUCAACACAUACUAACUGAGCACCUUCUGUGUGGAGAACAAGCUACUUGUACCUGACUGCAUAUCCCUGGAGAGGUGACAAGCGCUUUCCAGACAAAAGCAUCUCCCCGAAGAAGACAUCAUGAUGGCUCAGCAUACCCUUGGUUCCAUGUAGGUGCGCAUUACAGCUGACUGGUUCACAGAAGCAAAGGUCUGCCUGCCCAUCCUUCACCUCUGAGGUCCUACAGUCUCUGCUCUCAAUCUAGCACCGGCAGAAAGGAGGACCAGCACCAGCACUGAGGGUCUCUCUGGUCAAGGUCAUCCAAGUCUGGUCUCCACAUACGGUUCAGGCAGGCAAGACAGCCCUCAAUCUGUUACCAAUGCCUGUCUGCCAAGCUGUGUAACCUUCCCGAGCCUGAUUUCCUCCCAGGUAACAGGAG
Long non-coding RNA from Meriones unguiculatus (Mongolian gerbil), 678 nucleotides. RefSeq lists it as uncharacterized. The record is from RefSeq and is a predicted model, not a curated record. The transcript has 4 exons. NCBI's taxonomy places the organism in Eukaryota, Metazoa, Chordata, Mammalia, Rodentia, Muridae.